This is a long non-coding RNA of Prosopis cineraria, 685 nucleotides long. RefSeq lists it as uncharacterized. The record is from RefSeq and is a predicted model, not a curated record. NCBI's taxonomy places the organism in Eukaryota, Viridiplantae, Streptophyta, Magnoliopsida, Fabales, Fabaceae. The transcript is spliced from 3 exons.
UGUUUUCUUGAGUCUUUCUUACCCUAAACCCCCAAAUUCUCUUCCUGUCUUCCUCCGUGUUUGGUCUGCAGCUCCGAUGUUGUGGCUUUGCAAGGUUCAAGCUUCAUAAUCGGAAGUCAGUCGUCUGUGUGUUUGUUCUGCUGCUUCAUUGUCGUUGCAGUUUAUGUCUCUGUUCUCGUCUCAUUGACAAAAUUGUCAAGCUUCACUGUCGUUCUCGUUCUCGACUAAGUUCCUAUCUGCUGGUAAUUUGCUCUUUCCCUGUGUCUUUGCGGUGGUUUGCUACUGGUGCUUGUGCCUUCAUGCUUCAACUCCCUCGCUGCUGGAUCUGAAAGAUUGUAGGUUACCGUGAGCAGCUCUGGCAAUUCAAUUGGUGCACUCAUUAACCUCAUGCCAAAUAUGGUCCAAACGCCAAGAUAAUUACAAUCUAGUUUUAGUAAGGACUAAUGCUUGCUCAUAUAUCUAGCCAAACGGUGCUGAAUCCAGAAAUUGCAUGAACCCGCAAGAUGCAUGGAGACUGAUGCUUGCUUGGUUGCAGAGACAAAAUGGACAACCAGUACCAUCACAAAAUUAGUGUAACAUGUGGAUAAUCUAUCUAAUUCCUAUUGAAUUUGCCAAACUUAUGCUUUUCUUCGUGUAGUUGCUUGAAUAAAUAAUCUAGUUCUGGAAAUGCUGUCACCAUUAGUAA